Schistocerca cancellata (South American locust) is the source of this 610-nucleotide long non-coding RNA. RefSeq lists it as uncharacterized. Lineage: Eukaryota; Metazoa; Arthropoda; Insecta; Orthoptera; Acrididae. The record is from RefSeq and is a predicted model, not a curated record. The transcript has 4 exons.
UCCGCCGCCACUGCUCGCCGCCACACGCCGCCUCCGCGUCUCCCGCCGCCCUCACAGGUAGAAAAUCUUCUCCUUGCUCCUACAAUCGGGUAUGUGGGAUUUGAAGACGAAGAGAAUACUGAAGCUGACGGCAGUUGUUGGCGGCGUGUUCAUAAGAGAGCCAACAGAAUGACAACAGCAUCAAUGUCACAGCGACAACCUCCGUCACGAACAACAGAGGUGCUGUUGCUGGUGAAAAUACUAAUGCCACGGGUGAUGCUUUAUACCUGUUGAUACCAGUUAGUUAACUGCUGCGGAUGCUGGAUGAAAGAAUAACACGGGAGAAUUUACAGAGGAAGGAGACAUGCACAAUACGAUGAAUUUUGGUGGUGUCAGCACCUGCAUUUUGUAGGCCUACGUCAAGAUUACAGUCGCUCUGUCUAAGACUCAACAGAUCUCACUGACAUUGCUGCCCUAUAGCCGUCACUGUGUCAAUAAAACGGAGAAUGUUCUCUGAAAUGGCAACAGGAAAACAUUCUUUUGUAUUACCUUUCCCGUAAUCCGAAGACUUCAAAGGACAGGAACAUCCUAAGAAAUCAGUUCGUCGGCCUUUACACAUAUUAAAGAUAGU